ACUGCCGGCAGGGUAGGGAUCACCGGGGGGACACCCCGCCCAGGGGUGGGGGACACCUCCAAAGGAGACCCCAACACCCUCCAGGGACAGGUCAUGCCCCCCCGCCCCCCAAAAGGGCCCGGGGUAAAACCUGAGCCACCCCAGGGACGGGGACCACCCCCCACCAGAGAGGGCAGGAACCACCCUGAGGGUACCCCUGGAGAUAGGGGCCCAGGGGGCACCCCGAGACCCCCGCAUCUCAGGGACGGUGCACCUCCAGAACGGGCAGCGUCACCCUGAGACGCUCCCCCCACGAAGGGAACACCCCGGGAAUGAGAAUGGGGAGUCACCUUGGCCAGGCGGGAUAAGUUUGGGUUCACGUUCUCCUUCUGCGCCAUCCUGGGGACAGAGGGCACAGCGUCACCACGAGACCCCGCAGAGCGCGCGCCGCGCCGCGCGUCCUUACCCGCCGCCCCGGCUCGCGGGCUCUGCCCCGUGCGCCGCCGCCGCGUUUCAAACCUGCCACUCUCUCUCCCAUUGGCUGACACUUGCCGCGCGCCGCUCGUCCAUUUGCCUCUGGUGGGGAUAGUUCCACCCCUACCCACAAGCCCCCUCCAGCAGCUCUUAUGCCGUUUCUCAUUGGUCGGCGCUGCCGCUCGCCAGGCUGGUGGGGGCGGGAGCUUAGCGCUGGUUAGAGAGCAUGCGGUGGGGCGUUGGUCAGUCGGCGCGGGGGGCGGCUGAGAGCGGCCGCUGGUGGCGCGAGAGCGGCAAGUGAGAGGAGGGAGGUGGGGUGGCUCCUGGAGGCUCGGUGGCGGAAACGGGCGGUGGUGAAAGCAGACCUGCUGAGCAAAGCCUACCUGUGAGCUACAGCGUGGGACUGGCACCUCAGGGCUGCACUUGUAGCUUUGUCCGAGAGAAACUGAGGCAGCGCGGUGACGUGAGGCCCGGUGAGGGGUCACAAUUAGGUGUUGAUUCAGGAGGCUAUUGACCCUGCUGGAGGAAAGCUGUAAAUAAAGUGAAACUGAUGAUUUGUGAAGUACUGCGACAAUGACUGCAUCUCCAGUUUCCAGUAAGUUGUUCUGAGUAGCAUUUGUGAAAUGUAUAACAGGAAGGCCUAAUUGCAGGAAUUGAAAACUGACUAAAGGAGGUUAAUACAUUUUUUAAUAGCCAAAAGAAAAUUAGGCAUCUUUUUUUAGUAAAAAUUAAAUAAUUUCUUAGCUUUUAUGUAAUACAAAUUAAGAUAAAUCAGUCUUUAUUGUCUGAAAGAUCAUUUUGAAAAAGGUUCUUAAGCAGCACUCAUGGCCGUGCUCAGCUGUGCUGAUAAUGCAGAUAAACCUGUAUGGAUCACUGAGUCAGCUGUGUGAGCACACGGGUCAGCGAUGAGACGUGGCUGCUGGUUCCCGUGACACAGACGCUGCUCGAGCCAGGUGCAGGUUUUUCGUGCAGAUGUUCAGUGUUCCCUCUGAACCGCACCGGACAGAAAAUUAUUUACGUCCUUGCAGAGCAUCAGCCAGAGCAGUGUCUGGAAGCCCCUUCUGUGGGCGCUUCUCACCUGGGCCCGUGCUUUUCUGCUGGCCUGUGAACGCAAGGAACAGCAAUGUGGUGAAGAACUGAUUCCUGUGAAGUUUUCUCAGGGUCCUGUCUUACGGAUUAAAAGGUAGCCCUGCUGUUAUCUGUCACCUUAAAUCACACGUCUUACAAGGUGGACCAAAAUGACCCUCUACUCUGUCCUGGGGAGACCACACCUGGAAUAUUGUGUCCAGCUGUGGCCCCUCAGUUCCAGCAGGACAGGGAACUGCUGGAGAGAGUCCAGCGCAGCCACCAAGAUGCUGGAGGGAGUGGAGCAUCUCCCGUGUGAGGAAAGGCUGAGGGAGCUGGGGCUCUGGAGCUGGACAAGAGGACACUGAGGGGGGACUCAUUCCUGGGGAUCAAUAUGGAAAGGGGGAGUGUCAGGAGGAUGGAGCCAGGCUCUUCUGGUGACAACCAGUGACAGGACAAGGGGCAAUGGGUGCAAACUGGAACACAGGAGGUUCUGCUUAAAUAUGAGAAGCAACUCCUUCCCGGUGAGGGUGGCAGAGCCUGGCCCAGGCUGCCCAGGGGGUUGUGGAGUCUCCUUCUGUGCAGACAUUCCAACCCGCCUGGACACCUUCCUGUGUAACCUCAUCUGGGUGUUCCUGCUCCAUGGGGGGAUUGCACUGGGUGAGCUUGCCAGGGCCCUUCAACCCCUGACAUUCUGGGAUUCUGUGAAAUGCAGAUAAAAGUAUUUAUUCAUAAAAGCAUAAAUAGACAAUAAAACUAUAAAUGCUUAUAACAACAUAGCUUUGUUGAAGUACAAGCAAUAGUUGGUGUGUUGAUGUUAAGGCUUCAGCAGGAAGGCAUUUUCUCCCUCAGCCGCAGGUUCAGGCUGUGAGCGCCUCGUGCCCCGUGUUGAGCUACCGAGUGUUCUUUCGGUUCAUGUUCCUUACAACCCCCUCUUUCCUCCUCAGGAUCUAUAGAGAAUUUCCCCUUUGAAGUCUUCUGGGAGCUGCAGACAAAUACAAUCUUUGCCUUGAAAAUCACUCCAAUACUUUUAACGAGGAGAUAGUUGUGAUUAACUGAACUGAGGUUUCUCUUCCUUCGGUGCACCCAUGUGUGUUCUUAACUAGUUUGUAAACAAAAAUCGCUGGACGGUAUACAAGCUCUCUUCCUCCCCCUAGUGACUACUAACGUUUCAGAGAGAGAUUUUUUCAUCAGACCUUGUCUUGUAUAUUGAUCUGUACAUUGACACAUGCACUACAAAUAUCAAACCAAGAUAAAUACGUGUAGCUCACUACUGGAUCUGGGUUGAGACACAGCAGUAACCGCUGUGAGCCUGAGGCAGCGGAACCUCAGCUUUUUUCUGCUAAGCGUAUUGUGACCGUUCCAUUAUAAGCUGCAUUUGUCUGCUGUACCUGAGUAGGAUAUUUCUGCCAAUGCGUUGGAGGCUUCUGCUUGCCUGUGUUUGUGCUGGUGUGCCGGCGUCAUAGGGACUUACAACUGUCACCGCUCCGUGUCUUCUCGCAGGCUGACGUACCUGCUUAGUCAAUGACUUGUCUAAUGCCAGGUAAAGAAAUCAGGUGCAGGCUCCAGCAGGAUUGUAGUAAAUGCAGAAAAAUCUCUUUAAUGACACAUCAGAAAGCUGAGUGUUUGUUGCUCCCAGCUUUCAUUGCGGAGAUCUGUAACACGAAGGAAGGAUCAGGUGUGUGACUAAAGCUGGCUGGAUGUCUUCGUGUAUACACAGAACCGUGCACACCAGACUGGUAACUGCACUGUUCUCACUCGCAACUGGCCGCAAUAUAGCAGAGCAUGUCAUUCAUGCAACAGACUGUUAAUUCAAGUGCUAACUCCGUUGCUUUUAUUAAAUGCUGGAUUGACCUAUUCAGUAUGUUCCACUCUCCAGACAAGUUUUCAUUGCAAAACGUCCCCAGCUGUCACGUCCCGCCAGAGGUGUGUGUGGAGAGGUGACUCAGAUUCACGGUCCCCUUAGAAAAGAGUAUAUGGGGUACUCAAGGACGGUAUACAAACAAACCCCAACACCUUUUAUCUUGCAGCUUGGCCCAGGGUUGCAGGAAGAUGUACACUACUUAAGCCAAAUUGGUGAACAGUUUAACAGCAAAAGGAUUUUCACAAAGGAGUUUUGUGGCUGUAAGCCUUAGGUUAUACUGCUCAUAGAGGGAGAGCCAAAGAAAUAGGGAUAUAGGAAAGGAAAAGAGAAGGAAAGAAAGAGAACGAAAGGUCAGCCCGCGGCCUUUGUCUGCGGCGCCUGGUCUGGUGUUGGGAUGUAAAUCGCGAUUCACCUUCUCCUGAGUGCCCCAUUUACUGCUGCUGGACAUGAUGUCCAUACAGGAUUGUUUUGGGUCUGACAAUGGCCCAUCACUGCGGGAUGAGCUGUUGUUGCCAUAAUGUCUGAGACAUAAUUCUGUUGAGUCUCUGGCACAGGAGGCAGAUGGUGCUUGUCUGAAAAGCCCCCAGUUUCAGUCACUACAAGUGUUCAUGGUUUUUUCAACCUGAACCUUCUCUCAUCCUAAGGGGAACUGUCAACUGACAAUCUUGGUGAGAUGUGUUACUUGAAAAAUCGUGUCAUCGGUGAAAUCAAGUGCUUCCUCUUAUGAAAUCUCCGUAUAUAAGCAAAUUAAAGGUAUCUGGACAAAACAAAACAAGAUCCUUAAGAGACCCUCCUGUCUCAGUCAUUCUGGCCGGGGUCUGAGUGGCUGGGACGUGAGGGUGGGCAGGAUCAGGGCAGUGAGCAGCAGGGACGCACCACAGGUCACUCAUCCUUUCUUCUCAGGGCAGCCCCACACUGUGAUCAUCUGCAGUGCUCAAAAUCCUGUGAUUUGACAGCACAAAUUCUUCUAUCAUGGAAUAGUUCCCACAUCUGGUAUCUUCUCAGCCAGGAACAAGACGGAUUUAGGGAGGGGAUUGCAGAUGUAAAGCGUUACCCGCAGGGUGUGCAAAGAAGAUGGCUCAGAGCCAUGAACUGGUUGAAAACGGGAGUCCCCGGUCUGCAGUGGGUGUCGCUAAAUGCUCGAGCCAACUUUCCUUUCCAUAGUCAGGCCCACCUGGGAGCUGGCUGAAUGCAUGAACUGGCUUUAAAGAACACGUGAAUUUAUCUGAGUCUCCUCUGGAUUUUUCUCCCCGAUAGCUUUAUGCUACCAGAUUUGUUGCAUUAAUAUGUUACUUACAUAUUUCCCUGAAGACCCACCUCUAAAGCCUCUUGUCAUGUUACUUACCUGACACAUCCAAUGCCUAUAAAUCUCAGUAUCAGUGUGCAUCUUUGUACAGCACAAACAUGCACGUGUGUGUAUGCACAUAAAUGUAUGUAAUUUGGGUCGAAUCUUUAUUUGCUAUAUGUAGGUAUGAUAACACAACUUGCAGAAAAACACAACCUACCAAUGAAAACAAGUUUCAGCUCUGGCCGUGGAUGUUUUACCCAGAUGAGUGUUGAUUUUUCACCGUUACCACCGGCGUCCUUCAGAACUCACAACGGUAUCGGGACUAUAUUUGGUUUUUCAUAAUAUGUUUGUAUACUUAAUGUAUAAUACAUUAAUAAAGUGCACAUUAUACAGUAGUUUAAGAAACAGAAUAAUUUCAGUGAAGAUUUCUGGAAGUAAAUGAAGGUAUAACUGAUAUAUUUUAUAGCUGCCCAAUUUGUAGUUAAUAUGGUCAGAAACGUGUAAUUACUGCAAUCAUGUUGUGUGUAGAUGUGCGGUUGUAUACCUUGCUGAUACCUGCAUCCUAUUGUGGGUUUUUUCAUAAGAAUUGAUAUGGGAAAAUGAAACCAGGUGGUGUUUCUUCCACUUCCCCUCCCGUAUUGUUGCCCGUUUGCUUUUUGGAAACUGUUUCUGAUAAUACAGCAAGUUCUUAGUUUGAAUUCCCUGUAGAUCGCUGAAAUGAAACACACAUACAGCUUCAUUUCAGCAGGUUAAUAAAAAUGAACGAAAGAUGUCAGGAGUCCCUGAGGGAAGUUUAUCACAGGAACUACUUGUGAGACCAUUUAAAACUAUUUAUUGUGUGCUAACUACACUUAUUUUGUCCAAUUAACAGCUAAUUGCGCGCUUUCUUAAAGCUAUCUUUCUGUGAAGUUAUGGCUACUUACAGAAAUAAUCCAAAGCGACACUGAUCCGAUGUCCUUGAGUCAAAAAACCCUCACAAGGUGUGUGUUGUACUAAGCAUGACUACAAACAUACAGGCAUUUAUUAAUAAGGGUGACCUUCAUAUUUACUAAUUUUUAUGGGUGAAUUACCCUCACAAAGUGACACGAUGCAUUAAUUCUGUAAUGCAGAAUUGUUACUUUUAGUCCAUUCCUCGCGUUCCCAGCAGAACUGUCUGUUCUGUGCUGUCCUUGCUGCGGGUCGGUUGCUGUGCUGUCUGGCUCAGGAGACUCACUGGGUGAAAAGUCGCAUGUCAAUUUUAUGGACGUUCUUUCUAGAAACUCUGUGGGGUUUUUAUUAAUGUGAGGGCCUAGAGGAAUUAGAGUUGCACUGACGUAUUGAUAAAACACACUUGAUUCCAUAGCUGUAUUUUUAGUUCAUUCUUUUGUGAAGCUUUCUUAUGAGCUGUUGGCAUUUGAGCUGUGUGUCCUGUCUGAUAGCAGAUUUUGACCUGAGAUGAUGGUAUAAGAUUGGAAUUUGCUUCAAAUAAAUGUAUACAUUUGCUUGUAUCUGGCAGAGAUGAUUGUGUUCUAUGAGUAACCUCCUGUCCUGAUGUAUGGAGUAUGAACAUUAUGAGCUUGCUUUAUUUCUCCAAGUUGUGUAAAGUGACAGUAUGUACUGUGCAACAAUUAAAUCAGUGUCUCAUUUCAGAAUAGUGUGUAAACUACUGAACAAGACCCGUGAGCGUGUUCAUUGUCUGCACAAGCUCUGACACUGUGUCGGUGCGGGAUUUGCUGCUCUCAUUGCCCACGCCUGCACUCUGUCUGAUCAUGGCUUUAGGUGAGUGUCUCUGGUCUGCCAUUGCUGGUUUUGUGCUGAUCUUCUUUCUGUCUCCGUUCACUGGAAUUACAUCCUCCAUUCAGCCGCUGCAGGUCUGCACAGCCGGUCUUUUCAAGACAGCCGGUUUAAGCGUAUUCUAUUCAAAAGAAAGAAGUCUUUGAGCACUCUGAGUUUACAGCUCUGGUCCGAAAGGGCACAAGUUAAUACAGGUGGAUCAACAUUAUGUAAAUGCCAUAGAACAAAAUGUGGCUACUGUUGUUUAUCUGCUACAAUUUCUGUAGCAUUUUUAGACAAUUUUAGAAGUAGACUCUUGUAAGGAAUCCAGGAUCUUGUGCUUACCUGCGUAUUGCUCCUUCUGCACAUUGUCUUCGAUUAAUGCUGACCUGAGGUAUUUAUCUGCAGUACAACACGGUGUAGAUACUAACUCAGGUCUGGAGGCCAUCUCAGGAGAUGGAUUAGCUCAUCAUUACAUCAAAAAUAGAAGGAAUGCUACUUCCUUGUUUCUUGUGCUUAUGUAAUAAGGCACAUAUGUGGUAGUAACAGAGUUCGUGACCCCUGUACUUCAUAUGCAUAUAGCAGUGUAAAAAUAAUUUAUUAAAAUUAAACUGGCUUUCAGGUUUUCUGUUUUAAUUACUUUUCCAACUUGACUCUUUGUGUGGAGCCCGACCCCACUCACUGUCCCGCGACGGGGGACUCCAGACAAGGGGACGCAGACGCGGGGGCGGCUGUACAGUGGAACUCAGCGGACUUGAGAACCGCUCAGCUGGGUGAGGAUCAGACGCGUACAAAGCAGCUUUGCUUCUUAAAUGGCGAGGAUGACGUGCUUUGGUUUGGAAGACAUCAGAUUUGGGAUGUUAAGGAAGCUGUAACUACUUUGGUGUUUCCUUCUCCCCGCAGUCGCAUUUCUGGUUCUGUUUGCAGAGUUGUGCUCCUCUCCCGCACCAGGUGCUGAUCGUGGGGUCAGCGUGAGGGGGGGCAGGGAGGGCGGGGGGUCCGUGGACUUGAAUAAGUUUUGUUUGGGGUUUUUUAAACGCCUCUGUUGACACGUUGUAUAAAAACUGAUCGCUGCAGUGCUGGUGAAUGAAGAGGAGGAUGAGCAACAGACUUUAGAAAUUGUUUGGGUUUUGGUUUAUUGAAAAAUUAUUAUUUAACUCAAAAAGCAAUAAGAUCUUGCAGUGGUCUUCUAAUACUUAGUGGUAGCUUUUUAAUAUACUGGUUUGGAACCUUGAGAUUAUAUUUGAUAUGAAGUGGCUGUUCCAUUGUGGAAUAUUGCAGGAGUAAACUCUUGCAUUUCGGCAUUCCUGGCAGAUCUGCAGCUUGAUAAAGACCUCAGGCUGUUUAGUUUAAUCAGACUUUUGUACAUCCCACCUUCACUGUUCAAAGCACCGGCUGCCAAUGUGUUUUCUAGCGUUGUCAAUUCUUUCUGAACAAAGACAGCAGAGGUAGCAGCUCUACUAGUAUCAUCUGUUUUACUUAAACAUGGAUAUUUACAGGAACUUUAACUUGAAAGCUCAGAAAGCUGUGGUAUAUCUUUGUAAUGUUUAUAAAUUCUUAUGCAGAUAUUCUUAUGCCAGCGAGCACGGAACGUUUUUGAGUGUGAAUUGCUGUGCGGUUAGAAGGAAGAAAGAUGUGUGAGCUGCAGCAGCACGAAGGCUGCAGCCGUGUAAGCCCGGGGUGCAAACGGCACGAAACGGGCUGCAGCGGCGGAGCCCUCGGUCCCGGGCCGUCCCGGGCGGGCGCAGCCCGAGCGCUCCCGGCCCCGCUGCCGCUGACCCGCCGGGGCCGGGGCCGCGCUGCGGGCGGACAGCACCGCUCUGCGGCCGCCGGCGGCUUCGGGCCGGGGGGGGGCGGGGCCCGGUGGCGGGCGCGGACGGGAUUGGCUCCUGCGCGGGAUGGGCGGGGCCACGCUGCAGAAGCGCGCGGGCCGAGGAGCGCGUGCCGCCGGUGCGGCGGCGGGAGCAGCGCGCGAGGAGCGGCGGGGCCGGCGCACCUGACUGAAUGGAGAAGCAAGUGGACGGGAAGUUCCUGUGCCACACACAGAUCACAUUUAUUACUCUUGGCUUUAGAGAUGUGGAGAACCAAACCAUUCCCAUUGUGCCUUGAAGCAGCCUGUGCUCAUGCGCUUCUCCAGGGAGAAGGCGGAAUGGCAGUGACUGGCCACGUUAAGCCACAGGGUGCACACUCUGCAGCUGUCAAGCCCAGCUCUGCGUCAGCUCACACCUGCAAUUUUGCACCGCACACGCGGAUUUGAGUUGUCGCUGGUUGUCGCAGCGUUUGGCUUUGGUGGAGCAGCGUGCGAAGGAAAAAGGAAGCAGAGGAAGACGGUGAGCCUGCGAGGAAGAGUGUAGCGAGUCUGGCGUGGACUCACGGUGGAGCAGCGUGCAAAGGAAAAGCAAGGAAGGAGGCGAACCUGUGAGGAAGAGCGAUUGAGAAAGAGGGUUGGAUCGCACCUGCCGGUCAGGAGGGAUCAGGGAAGAAGACACCGGUGGUGGAACCGCAGGUCAGGAGAGCUCAAGGAAGGAGAAAGGUGAUUGUGGCCGUAUGGGUUUUUCUAGCUCACGCACCAAUGAAAACAGUUUGGAUAAUAAAAGAAAUGUAUGCAAAACCGAUAAGUAAAGGCAGAGAAUGUUUAUAUGCUGUGUAUGGGAUAGACCUGAAGGUAUAUUUAUUCCUACAACAAAGGAGAAUUCGCAAUGGUAAUUAACUGAGGAUGUGAAUUUCCAGAUUGCAUUGGCAACAUACGUAGGGAACAUACCAGUUUAUUACCCUCAACAUAAACUGUGGGCUGAAACUGGUAAUUUACCGUUGUGCAGCAAAUGCUCCUGUCAGCAACGACCAGUAAGCGACAAGACUGUAAUUACUGAUGGCUCUGGUCGCUCACGUGAAGUUGUAAUGACGUGGCUGAACUCAGAUACCCAGUGCUGCAAACACAAGGUAGAGAAAGAGACCAAGGGUCAAACAAGUUCUGGAGCUGACAGCUGUUGGGAUCGCUGUGAGGUGUUCUGUAACAAACCUUUGAAUGUUGGAACUGGCUCGUAUUAUGCAGCUGGCGUACUUAACCACCUGGAAGCUUCUUUUCUUAAGGAAGAGGACAAUCCUCUUUCGAUGGCUGAAUUGAGAAUGCUAUGGUUUCUAAUCAAUCACAGACAUCAUGGUUAUUAUGCAAUGCACACCCGCUCUCGCACGGCCCUUCCAGGACCUCUUGCGGAAGGCAAUAGGAGGGCCGAUGCACAAGCUGUGCUGCUCACUGUGCCUGAAGCCUUGCAGCAAGCUAAAUGAUCACAUGAAUGCUUUCACCAGAGUGCAAAGUCGUUAAAAUGACAAUUUCAAAUUACAGUGGAUCAGGCCAGGAGCGUUCUUAUGUCCUGCCCUGAUUGCCAGCAGUCGGCACCCGUGCCGUGCACAGAGGGUGUGAAUCCAGGAGGGAUUGCUGCCAGUGAAGUACGGCCAGCUGGGGUAACGCGUUGUUCUGAAUGGGGUAAAUACGUACGUGUUUCUGUACGCACUCAUUCCGGAUUUCUCGUUGCUGCUGCACGCUGGUGAAAGGGCACGAGACGUCUGUGACGUUGGUUGACAUGUUCACUGUUUGAGGAGUUCCACGAUCUGUAAAACCAGAGGAAAGCGGAACGCACGCUGGAUUAGAGGAGCGAUCCCCCGAGUGCCCAGCGCGCUGUAAUAGAAGUGCCUGCUGUUUAACACUUUCAAAACAGUGUUAGAGAGUCUGUUUGCCGACUUUCCGGUAUCAUGUUCUGGCGACGAGGAUGGGAUGAUCUGCCUGACCUGCCGUGGUCCCCAGGGUCUCUGGGACCUUGUGCCGGCACCGGGGAGUUCCCGGAAGGGACCACGGAUCCUGGGACCAGCUCGGACGCGGGUGAAACCCCAUCAGUGAGAUGAGGCGCUUUCACUGUCUGGUUGGGCUGGCACGCUGCCUGCGCGAGACGUGGGCGACACGGCGCGUGGGGUCUGCGCGUUCGCGUCUGCGCGUUUGGGUAAACCGGGGAACUUAAAAAGAAAUAAAAAAUUAAAGAGGAAAAUGAGAAAACUAUAAAUAAAAGAAAAAACGAGGGAACAGUAAUUUGGUAAAGGUACCUUUAGUGAUUUUGCUGGUUUUGCCUUAGCGAUUGUAUGAUUGUGUCUUCAGUGAUCUGUUGUUGUUGUUACUUGUGUCUUGGGUGAUUUUAUAGUCCAGUACUUACGGUUCUCCAAUUGUCUGUUAUUGUGAUUGUGAAACAGGUGGUGGUACAAUCGACAGGAGGGAUUUGGAAGAAAUCCCCCUGGGUUGUAUUUUGUGACAUUGGAAAAGGAUCGUUUGACUCUCUGGGGAACAGCAACCAGGGGAAUCUGAUUAAAUAUUGUAAUUAAUGGUGGCCACUGUAAAUAAUGUUAACAUGCUGCACAGGUCUAGGUGGGUAUACUUUGAGAUGUGUAGUAUAGUACCGCACUACAUGUAAUAUAUAAUAAGAUACAUAUUUUAAAUCACAUAUUGCUUAUUACAUAAUGUGUAUUACACAAUACAUAAUGUUACAUAUGCAUUGUAUUUAUCCCCGUCAGAUGCAUUUGUUUUGAAAAAGGAUAAUCAGAAGUUGAAACCAGUAAAAGGUUUGUUGAAGAGCAGCUAUUGGUGUAGAGUACACAGAGCACACGGGAUCAGAACUGUCCCGCGGUCGGUCCAGGGUGGCAUCCUGAUGUCCUUACAUCGGGGACAGGCUGCAUUGCUAUGGACGGUGCAUUUCAUACGGGAUUAGACACGCUGUGCCUAAAGCUGUAAAUACGCCAAAACCUUCUGAGAUUAAACAGGAUCGUGAGGCGUCUCCCACUGAGUUCUUACACCGUCUUAAACCGACAGCUCAGAAAUAUAUUAAUAUAGGUCCUGACUUGGAGAACAGAGAAACAGAAUUCUUAGUUGACUGGGAGCUCACUAUUCAGUGUUAAACACUGUGCAGGGAAUAUUAAGUAGCGAUUCUGUAGCAGUUAUGGGUGCCGUGAAAAGUGCGAAACACGGCCCUUUAACCCGCUGCUUAGAAUGUUUGUGUGUGGAGCGUGGUACUUAUUGAUUGUGUGCCGUGUGUCUUCUCUUGUGCACAACGAAUGGUUGACAGAAGCUUUAGUGGUGCAGUGGCUGUGCAGUUACACGCUGCUGUGGCUGCAGUUGUUGAACAAGGGGGAGAUGUGGCAGGGUUGUGACAUCAGUUGUGAGAAACUGCAAGAGUCACAGCGUGAGAACAAGCGCUGGUGGAACAACACAAGCAGCAAGGACUGUGUGGGACAUGAACCAUCAGGGACAGAGGGAUUGAUACGGGAUCGGUACAUCAGGGACAGGGAUUGAUACGGGAUCGGUACAUCAGGGACAGGGAUUGAUACGGGAUCGGUACAUCAGGGACAGGGAUUGAUACGGGAUCGGUACAUCAGGGACAGGGAUUGAUACGGGAUCGGUACAUCAGGGACAGAGGGAUUGAUACGGGAUUGGGACAUCAGGGACAGGGAUUGAUACGGGAUCGGUACAUCAGGGACAGGGAUUGAUACGGGAUUGGUACAUCGGGAACAGAGGGAUUGAUACGGGAUCGGUACAUCAGGGACAGAGGGACUGAUACGGGAUCGGUACAUCAGGGACAGGGGGAUUGAUACGGGAUUGGUACAUCGGGAACAGAGGGACUGAUACGGGAUCGGUACAUCAGGGACAGGGGGAUUGAUACGGGAUUGGUACAUCGGGAACAGAGGGAUUGAUACGGGAUCGGUACAUCAGGGACAGAGGGAUUGAUACGGGAUCGGUACAUCAGGGACAGGGGGAUUGAUACGGGAUUGGUACAUCGGGAACAGAGGGACUGAUACGGGAUCGGUACAUCAGGGACAGGGGGAUUGAUACGGGAUUGGUACAUCGGGAACAGAGGGACUGAUACGGGAUCGGUACAUCAGGGACAGAGGGACUGAUACGGGAUCGGUACAUCAGGGACAGAGGGACUGAUACGGGAUCGGUACAUCAGGGACAGAGGGAUUGAUACGGGAUCGGUACAUCAGGGACAGGGAUUGAUACAGGAUCGGUACAUCAGGGACAGGGAUUGAUACGGGAUUGGUACAUCAGGGACAGGGAUUGAUACGGGAUCGGUACAUCAGGGACAGGGAUUGAUACGGGAUCGGUACAUCAGGGACAGAGGGAUUGAUACGGGAUUGGUACAUCAGGGACAAAGGGACUGAUAAACAGGGACAGGGGUUGAUACGGGAUUGGUACAUGAGGGACAGAGGUUCGUGAUGUUUCAAAUGCAAACCUGAGUUUGUAUUAAAUGUCUCUUCGCAUCUCAAAGAGUGUCUGUGCCUCACUUGCUACACCCCUUUAUCUGUUUCCCAAAUUGCGAUUUAAACUGUAUUUACCAUUGUAAAAAUAAAGCUUUCCCCCCUUAAUUUUUGUCACAUAUUGUAAUUAGAAUUAAUAGAGAUAUUGAAGCCCGUCCUAGCUGAACUGGAGAAAAGACAGCAGCCAUGUGUAUUUUUAAAUAAAGAGUAAAUCAAGUCUGCUAGCUCGUUA
This is a long non-coding RNA of Columba livia (rock pigeon), 12948 nucleotides long. RefSeq lists it as uncharacterized. NCBI's taxonomy places the organism in Eukaryota, Metazoa, Chordata, Aves, Columbiformes, Columbidae. The record is from RefSeq and is a predicted model, not a curated record. The transcript is spliced from 6 exons.